UGAUGCAGCACGCCGCGUGAGGGAUGAAGGCCUUCGGGUUGUAAACCUCUUUUAUCAGGGAAGAAAAUCUGAUGACGGUUCCUGAAUAAAAAACACCGGCUUACUUGCUGCCAGCCGCCGCGGUAAUGGAGUGGGUGCAAGCGUUGUCCGGAAUUAUUGGGCGUAAAGAGCUCGUAGGCGGUUUGUCGCGUCUGCUGUGAAAUCCCGAGGCUCAACCUCAGGCCUGCGGUGGGUACGGGGGAACUGUGUUGUGGGGGGGGAGAUUGGAACUCCUGGUGUAGCGGUGUAAUGCGCUAAUAUCAAGAACAACACCGAUGGCGAAGGCAGAUCUCUGGGCCAUUACUGACGCUGAAGAACGAAAGCGUGAGGAACGAACAUGAUUAAAUCCCCUGGUACUCCACGCCGUAAACGAUGGCUACUAGAUGUAGGAACCAUUCCCCUCAUUCUGUGACCCAACUAAUUAAUUGUUCCCCCCGCCUGGGAAGCACGGCCGCGUGGCUAUCACU
RNAcentral lists this ribosomal RNA (506 nucleotides) under uncultured bacterium. RNAcentral's name for it is "bacterial SSU rRNA". It matches the Rfam family "Bacterial small subunit ribosomal RNA", at positions 384 to 901 of the family's 1533-position model. The record is from RNAcentral.